AGAUUCGCUCUUUCAAUAACCGGAUUGAUUUAACUGUAAUAUCCCAUCGCUAGAGUUGGGUGGUAGUUUUAGCUACAAGUUUCAUGGCCAUGGUUACGUGAAACGUAGUGCUGGUGUCAGAUAGGUCAAUAACCCGUUUGGCAUUGAAAAGAAUGUUCAAUUUACGCUAGAAAUAUCUGCUUCGUUCGUCAAUGAAUUGCAAAUUUCUUUUUCUACAGCUGAGCGUACGAAAAUUCGUAACUGAUGUGUGUGGUGUGUCGGAAAUAUCCACUUUUGGAAUUGGCCAUGGGCAUGGAGAGAUGGUUUCCUGUCUCCAUAUUAAAUUUCCCAUAAGGGGUUGUCCGCUUUUUUAACGAUCAGAGGAUUUUCCAGUGUGCCGCUAGAUGGCGUUUGAUUGUUUUGAAAAUGACGAAAUGUGUGAACGAGUUAUGUCAUCUUCUUUUCUGGUUUGUGUUUGAAUUUUGCUGUUUUACUGCCAAAAAUCAACCAAUUAUAUACAUAAAAUGUACCUGCCGUCUGGUCAUCAGAUUAAUUUGGACCCCAUUUUAAGAAAAAAUUGCUCAACACUUCUGUAACUCACACCCCCAGCUUCAUCUGCAUCAUCCUCUCACAUCUUAGUCAAAACUUUGAGCUGUUUUUCCCAAAAGUUGUGGCGUUGGAUGUACAAUUACAGGUUCAUUCUUGCCUGAAAGAUGUUUACACCUUUGAACACUUUUUGUGGAGUUGUUGCAUCAUGAAAUUGUAUUGCAUUGCUGCCAUUCUCUUCAUCUCCCACUUCACAGCUACAAGAAAUGAGUAAUAGGAAGCCUACAACAGA
This is a long non-coding RNA of Daphnia pulex (common water flea), 817 nucleotides long. RefSeq lists it as uncharacterized. The transcript is spliced from 3 exons. Lineage: Eukaryota; Metazoa; Arthropoda; Branchiopoda; Diplostraca; Daphniidae. The record is from RefSeq and is a predicted model, not a curated record.